UCAAAAGGUGACAAUGAGAGCAACUCAUUU
This 30-nucleotide non-coding RNA is filed under the name Mus musculus (house mouse). Lineage: Eukaryota; Metazoa; Chordata; Mammalia; Rodentia; Muridae. The record is from RNAcentral.